RNAcentral lists this ribosomal RNA (914 nucleotides) under Leucauge argyra. RNAcentral's name for it is "SSU rRNA". It matches the Rfam family "Eukaryotic small subunit ribosomal RNA", at positions 414 to 1334 of the family's 1831-position model. Lineage: Eukaryota; Metazoa; Arthropoda; Arachnida; Araneae; Tetragnathidae. The record is from RNAcentral.
AUCCAAGGAAGGCAGCAGGCGCGCAAAUUACCCACUCCCAGAACGGGGAGGUAGUGACGAAAAAUAACAAUACGGGACUCUUUUGAGACCCCGUAAUUGGAAUGAGUACACUCUAAACACUUUAACGAGUAUCUAUUGGAGGAAAAGUCUGGUGCCAGCACCCGCGGUAACUCCAGCUCCAAUAGCGUAUAUUAAAGUUGUUGCGGUUAAAAAGCUCGUAGUUGGAUCUCAGUUCGAGACGGAUGGUCCGCCUACCGGUGGUUACUGUCUGUUCUCAACACCAGCCGGUUUCUCUAGAUGAUCUUCACCGGUUGUCUUGGGUGACCGGCAAGUUUACUUUGAAAAAAUUAGAGUGCUCAAAGCAGGCGCGACGCCUGAAUAAUGGUGCAUGGAAUAAUGGAAUAGGACCUCGGUUCUAUUUUGUUGGUUUUAGGAACACGAGGUAAUGAUUAAGAGGGACAGACGGGGGCAUUCGUAUUGCGACGCUAGAGGUGAAAUUCUUGGACCGCCGCACGACGAACUACUGCGAAAGCAUUUGCCAAGAAUGUUUCCAUUAAUCAAGAACGAAAGUUAGAGGUUCGAAGACGAUCAGAUACCGUCCUAGUUCUAACCAUAAACGAUGCCAGCCAGCGAUCCGGCUGUGUUCCUCAAAUGACACGCCGGGCAGCUUCCGGGAAACCAAAGCUUUUGGGUUCCGGGGGGAGUAUGGUUGCAAAGCUGAAACUUGAAGGAAUUGACGGAAGCGCACACAAGGAAUGGGGCCUGCGGUUCAAUUUGACUCAACACGGUGCAACUCUCCUGGCCCGGACACAGGAAGGAUUGACAGAUUGAGAGCUCUUUCUUCAUUCUGUGAUAGGUGGUGCAUGGCCGUUUCUGGUUGGUGGAGUGAUUUGUCUGCUUUAUUCCGAUAACGA